Long non-coding RNA from Motacilla alba alba, 3091 nucleotides. RefSeq lists it as uncharacterized. The transcript is spliced from 2 exons. Lineage: Eukaryota; Metazoa; Chordata; Aves; Passeriformes; Motacillidae. The record is from RefSeq and is a predicted model, not a curated record.
AAUUAACCGCGGCUAAAUAAACGUGCUGGGGCAGAGCGAGAGGGGAGCGCAAAGCCCCUGCCCAGCGCCAGGGGCGGAUUUACAGCGAAGGGAGCCGGAGGAGGAGCCGCUGCCGCCGGGCCGGAGCUGGUGAAACAGAAGAUAAAGCGACAACUGACGGAGCAGCAAAGGUCUGAGGCAGUGACUGCAAAAAGGGGAGGAAAAUACACCAAACAACGAGGAGAAAACACGCACAACUUUAAGUCAAGCUUGGAUGCCACCAGUUUCUGGGAACAAUUUAUUAGAGCUCCUGUGGACCAUGAGAAAUGUAUAGAACUUACAGAAAGGAAUAUGCUAAUUUACCCUCUAAAUAAAGGAGCAAUCUCUUCAAUGCAAACCAGGUGUUUUUCUGGAAACCAAUAAACUUCAGUCUCGUUCCUGUGAUUUUGGCUGGGAGAUUGUUUUGUGUUUCUACUCAGAACUGUUGAUUGUAAUUUACAUUGUACCAGUAGUAGAGGUGAAGAUCAGGACAGUAAUUUUUAACACUAUUUCACUCUAAAUGAGUCGUACUGUGUUUACUGUGCAGAGGAUUGCUCUUAAGAGAAAAAGAAGGAAAAAAUUUAAAACCCAUUUUUGCAAUGACGCUGAAUUUAAAAACACGAUCAACCCAGAUGAUGUAAUUGCAAAGUGCGCUGGCACUCUCAGGUAAAAAGUUUUGAGCCUUUAAGACAUGUUAUUACAACCCAGAUCCUGCAAUAUUUGUUCUUCUAACGUCUCUGUAAAGAGAAGAUUCUUGGUUAGAUGGCUCUCCAGCUGCUGAAAGGCAAGAACCAUACGCUGGGUUGCAGUGGAGCAUGUGGGGAAAGGAAUAAAGGGGCAAAAAAAUAAUGAAGAAAUAGAGCAAAUCUUUAUCUGCGUAAUGAAAGCAACCCUAAUUCAUUUCUCUGUUCAGUUGCUAAAGGAAAAACAAAACAAACCUCCAAGCAAACAAAACUUCAAAUAAAAACAAAAGGAACUAUUUACAAAUUAAAAAUAAUAAAGCUGUUGUGAUUGUUGUGUGGCUUAGUUAUCAGAAAAACGUUUUCCCCCUAAAGCUUUUUGUCACAUUCUAAUGUGACACUUCCCACCUGCUCUGACUUCUGCUGGAAGAGCCUGGCAGCAGCUUUAAUUACCAGAUCUAUUCUGGAACAGGGCUGAAGACGGGAAGCUGGAGGAAAACCAGCACUGGAGUGCAACAUUCGUAUCCGUAGGCAGUUUCUGCAGCCCGAGAGGGGCUUGGAGCCAGAGGAUCCACGGUGCAGGAGAGUUUCCUGUUACAUUCUACUUCCUUGCCUCUCUACACCCCUUCAGAUCUUGAUCUUACUGACCGCAAAACCCAGCUUUGAAAAACUGAACAUAACAUGCUUACAUCAAAACUCUACAUAAAAUUGUCUCUUCCUGCAUAACUUGCAUAAACACAACCUUUCUUGAAUCACAAAAAUAUUUGGAUUCAGUUCUAGUAGGAAAAGGUCAUCUCUGAAGGGUUGCUGUUUAUCAGUAAGUUUAUCUCAGAAUACAACUGACAGAAAAUCCACUCUCAUUCAUUUUCCCCUGCUAAAAUUAAGAGUUAAAGAGUUAAAUGUAUUUUAGGCAAAUUAACAUCUUUACUUGUUCUCUAAUGAACAUGUAAAUUUUCUUCAGUGACACACUGCUCCAAACCAAUCCAUGACCAUGCACAUUCCCAGAAACACCUCCGAUAAUCGUAAUUUAUCCAACAAACUAAGGAUCUUCAACAGGUCAGAGCAAGUAAUUCCCCAAGAAUAAACCAAGAUGUAAAGCUUUAAUUCAGAAAACAGAGACAACAAUAAUCAACUGGGAAACCUUUUAUUCAGGUAACAAGGUAAAAGGAAAACCUAUUCUACCAAGCAGAUUUUUUUGCAGCAGAAGUCAAACAGCCAGUGGGAAAAGUAGUAGAAUUAAGGGAAGUAGUACCAAAUAUCAGUCUUCUCCAAACGUGUUUUCAAUUUGUGUAAGUAACUGCCAAACUAGCAGCUAGAAAACCCUCGGGAAUCUGCCAAUGCCCAGUGCAAAGCAGUUUUAGUUAGUACAAGCCAUUCCUGAACACUCACAGUGCAUGUCAGAUAUCAUGCAUCUGUCUCACCUACCUGGCAGGCUUGCACAGAAGCACCACUACCAGCCUACAUCAAAAGAGCACAGGUUCAGUAUUAAAGCCACAGUCUGUGGAACUAUCACCAAGGUCUUCUGACAGGGUGCAGUGCUGCUCCAUGAGUUACAUGUUGCCUUCUGCCAGUUUCAUGUCUCUUACCCCAACAGCCACGGCGUGCACUCAGCGGGGACUGCCAGGUGAGGGUUUAGGAAAGGAAGAUGCCCUUGCUAUCAAAGCUAUCCAGAGAAGUACUGAGCCCAGAGGUGUCUACUACACCUUCCCCUUGCUGGCAUGGCUGAGGCCCUGGGAGACCUUUACACAGAACAUUUUAGAGUGAACAGUGCAGCACUGAGUCUGCAUUGGAACUCUCACGAGCACAGGUGUACAAACAGUGCAGCCUCGACACUGGGCACACUUAUAAUCCCCAGGGACACAAAUGCUGUGGUUCACUGAUCCUUGUGCCAGAAUAAUUUGACAUAUUGUGGAUAAACACACUGGUAUCAGAAAGUGCAAGCAGUAGUAUCCCCUUAGAAUAAUAUUAACUGAUACGCAAUCCUGUGGAGAAGCAGAAGGUUACAGCCUGUGAGCCAUCCCAGGAGUCUCCCCGGGCCUCCUUCCCCUUUUAAGUUAUAUUUUAUAGUUUUCUUUGUGGGUGUGGAAAACACAAAGUGCCAGCUGAUGUUGUUUCAUGAUUAGGUGGAUUUUGACUGACUCUAGUCAUACACAAGAAGCAUGUGCAGGUUUUAUUUCAUUAGAGAAUACACCUCCACAAGGUGUGUACAUCAAAAGUGUCUUACUGGGAGAGUUCUCUAAAAAUGCACACUACUGGACAAAAGCAUAAUCCAAAAAAGGAAGAGAACUAGUUCUGGUGGAAGCAGAAGUGCUGUGGGUAAAAGCCCACUGACCAGCAGAAAGCACAGAACAGCCUACAAGCACUCCAGGAGGCACCCACAGUUUGCAUCCAAU